GAGGCUUGUAAAACCUUGGGGUUCUGCGUAACCCACAUGCUGCAUCGCCCAGACUCAAAGGAGCUGCACAAAAUGUGCCCUUCCCAUCUUCAGGUAUCACACAGGACCGACAGUCUUCAAAAGCAAAAACUAUUUGAAGACGCCUCUGCACCAAGACAUUUUAGUGUCCCACAGCCUCACAUGCAGGACAUCUUCAUCUUUUGUUGGCCUGGAACAUCUCAGACCACAGCUGGUGCGCGUCCCACCGAACUCUUUUUCCCAAGCUCGGCGCAGAAUCACCCUGUUGCCCCUGCGGCCCCCUUUCGUAGCCUCCUCUUACCUUUUCUUUAAACAAUCCCUCCCUCUCAUCUUUUCUUUAAACAACCUUUCCCUUUCUCCAACAUGCUGCCCCACACACUCGCUAAAUGAAGUUAGUCCAGCACCCCCCUCCCCAUCCUCUUCUGCUCCCUACCAGACACACUCACAGAAUUGUUUGUUAAUAGUCCAAUUAGAUAAUUGCCAUCUUUCACUCCUUUUGCUCUCCGUUUCUCAUAAAGGACUGAAUGGCUUCGGUUGGGGGGGGAGUUCAGCAUGAAGAGGGCCUCUGGCCCUGCAAGGUGACAAGAAGGGUCCGAGCCUGUUCCCUGCUCGCAACCAUUGGUUUGAAUUGAAUCAUUGUAGCCUAAUCAAUGGUCUUAUUGGAUUACAGACCACUGCUGUUCCCCCAGAUAUUGUUGCGUUGACAAUGAAAAUAGGCGAGACUGAGUGGGUGGGUGUGUAGUGGUGUGGAAGGAAUGGAAGAGGGGUGGAGGAGGGGGGUCGCUUUGGGUGUUAGCGUUGGGAUCUCGGGCAGGUUGUUUUUUUUUAGUGGUGCUUUAACAGGUUUCUUGUAGGGUAAGGGGGCUGAGUGAUGGUAGCAUUGGGUUGGGGUUUGCAUUAGAGGUGCUGGGUAACUCAGAGUGGUUGUGCGCACUGUCCCCCGUUUGACAGAGUUCCCUUGUGUUCAUCUCUUUCUUUUGUCAAUCCGUGUUCAUUACCACUACAGAUUCCGAGCGAAGUGGAUUCCAUUUUUUUCGUAUUCCAGGUCUCUCCGCCUCCCUCAUUCUUUUUCUCUGUCUCUCUCUCUCUUUUUGCUCUCCACCGAUCUUUCCCUCUCUCUCUUUUCGCUCUUUGCUUGUGUUAGCGCCGAGGGUGCAGCGUGUGGUAUCGGGCCGUUAUCCGGGGGGAGAUUCGCCAGCCUGUUCGUAAAGUUAGCCCGACCAAACAUCUACAGCCUGAGAGCAGUGGAACGGCCAGGCAUUGAGGAAUCAAGUGGAACUUUUCUGGCGGUCCAUGAUUGCGCGUGGUGGCG
Molecule: long non-coding RNA, 1330 nt
Organism: Cyprinus carpio (common carp)
Lineage: Eukaryota; Metazoa; Chordata; Actinopteri; Cypriniformes; Cyprinidae
Source: Ensembl